AGGCGAACGGGUGAGUAUGCAUCGGAACGUGCCCAGUAGUGGGGGAUACUUGCCGAAAGUCGAGCUAAUACCGCAUACGCCCUGCGGAGGAAAGCGGGGGACCUUCAGGCCUCGCGCUAUUGGAUGGGCCGAUGUCGGAUUAGGUAGUUGGUGGGGUAAAGGCCCACCAAGGCGACGAUCCGUAGCUGGUCUGAGAGGACGACCAGCCACACUGGGACUGAGACACGGCCCAACUCCUACGGGAGGCAGCAGUGGGGAAUUUUGGACAAUGGGGGCAAGCCUGAUCCACAAUGCCGCGUGGUGAAGAAGGCCUUCGGGUUGUAAAUUGCUUUUGUUCGGAAAGAAAAGCCCGGGUAAUACCCGGGGGCUACUGAGGUACCCUAAAAAAAACCCGGCUAAUUCCGUGCAACCACCGCGGUAAA
RNAcentral lists this ribosomal RNA (422 nucleotides) under uncultured beta proteobacterium. Its description in RNAcentral is "bacterial SSU rRNA". It matches the Rfam family "Bacterial small subunit ribosomal RNA", at positions 96 to 524 of the family's 1533-position model. Lineage: Bacteria; Pseudomonadati; Pseudomonadota; Betaproteobacteria. The record is from RNAcentral.